RNAcentral lists this non-coding RNA (28 nucleotides) under Mus musculus (house mouse). Lineage: Eukaryota; Metazoa; Chordata; Mammalia; Rodentia; Muridae. The record is from RNAcentral.
UAUCCAGAGCAUGAGGAGUACUUGUGAU